AUCUUUGCGCUUGGGGCAAUGACACAGCUAGUGAGGUUCUAACCGAGGCGCGUCUAUUGCU
This 61-nucleotide small nuclear RNA is filed under the name Solanum tuberosum (potato). Its description in RNAcentral is "U4 spliceosomal RNA". It matches the Rfam family "U4 spliceosomal RNA", at positions 1 to 59 of the family's 138-position model. Rfam says of the family: U4 small nuclear RNA (U4 snRNA) is a component of the major U2-dependent spliceosome. The structure of U4 snRNA from yeast and human has been reported. Lineage: Eukaryota; Viridiplantae; Streptophyta; Magnoliopsida; Solanales; Solanaceae. The record is from Rfam by way of RNAcentral.